UGACCGCUGGCGGCAUGCCUUCCACAUGCACGUCGAACGGUAACAGGUCUUCGGAUGCUGACGAGUGGCGAACGGGUGAGUAAUACAUCGGAACGUGCCCGAUCGUGGGGGAUAACGAAGCGAAAGCUUUGCUAAUACCGCAUACGAUCUACGGAUGAAAGCAGGGGACCGCAAGGCCUUGCGCGAACGGAGCGGCCGAUGGCAGAUUAGGUAGUUGGUGGGAUAAAAGCUUACCAAGCCGACGAUCUGUAGCUGGUCUGAGAGGACGACCAGCCACACUGGGACUGAGACACGGCCCAGACUCCUACGGGAGGCAGCAGUGGGGAAUUUUGGACAAUGGGCGAAAGCCUGAUCCAGCCAUGCCGCGUGCAGGAUGAAGGCCUUCGGGUUGUAAACUGCUUUUGUACGGAACGAAAAGACUCUGGUUAAUACCUGGGGUCCAUGACGGUACCGUAAGAAUAAGCACCGGCUAACUACGUG
This 480-nucleotide ribosomal RNA is filed under the name uncultured bacterium. RNAcentral describes it as "partial 16S ribosomal RNA". It matches the Rfam family "Bacterial small subunit ribosomal RNA", at positions 30 to 507 of the family's 1533-position model. The record is from RNAcentral.